CCCGACCGUUGCUGCUACCUUGACGUGGUGGUCGGGCUUGCCUAUCGUGAUGAAACAAUCGAGCUAUACUGGCUGGAACAGUCGUUCCUCGAGGUCCUACCAUACGAGACAGGUCGGUUGAAGAGCGGUAAGACUAAAGGCAGC
RNAcentral lists this non-coding RNA (144 nucleotides) under Schistosoma mansoni. Lineage: Eukaryota; Metazoa; Platyhelminthes; Trematoda; Strigeidida; Schistosomatidae. The record is from RNAcentral.